This 190-nucleotide unclassified non-coding RNA is filed under the name uncultured Thelephorales. RNAcentral describes it as "sequence contains ITS1". Lineage: Eukaryota; Fungi; Basidiomycota; Agaricomycetes; Thelephorales. The record is from RNAcentral.
AUGGAAAAUAUUUACAUUGUAUGUGAAAGGUUGUAGCUGGCCUUGAGUAUGUGCACACCUGGAUCAUCAUGUAUAAUAACCAUUUUUUUACCCUUGUGCACAACCUGUAGCUUAUCCAUUUUUUAUGGUUAAGUUAUGAAUGCAUUUUUAAUUAUACACUUGACAUAGUAACAAUCAAAUAAAUAUAAUA